GGAUCGGUAGCUCAAUCGGUAGAGCAAUAGUACUCAAAGUAAGUACUAGAGGCAGUGGGAUCGAAACCCACCUGAUCCA
RNAcentral lists this transfer RNA (79 nucleotides) under Clytia hemisphaerica. RNAcentral's name for it is "tRNA-Undet for anticodon ???". It matches the Rfam family "tRNA". Rfam says of the family: Transfer RNA (tRNA) molecules are approximately 80 nucleotides in length. Their secondary structure includes four short double-helical elements and three loops (D, anti-codon, and T loops). Further hydrogen bonds mediate the characteristic L-shaped molecular structure. tRNAs have two regions of fundamental functional importance: the anti-codon, which is responsible for specific mRNA codon recognition, and the 3' end, to which the tRNAs corresponding amino acid is attached (by aminoacyl-tRNA synthetases). tRNAs cope with the degeneracy of the genetic code in two manners: having more than one tRNA (with a specific anti-codon) for a particular amino acid; and 'wobble' base-pairing, i.e. permitting non-standard base-pairing at the 3rd anti-codon position. The record is from Rfam by way of RNAcentral. Lineage: Eukaryota; Metazoa; Cnidaria; Hydrozoa; Leptothecata; Clytiidae.